RNAcentral lists this ribosomal RNA (492 nucleotides) under uncultured bacterium. Its description in RNAcentral is "partial 16S ribosomal RNA". It matches the Rfam family "Bacterial small subunit ribosomal RNA", at positions 29 to 507 of the family's 1533-position model. The record is from RNAcentral.
AGUGAACGCUGGCGGUAGGCCUAACACAUGCAAGUCGAACGGCAGCACAGUAAGAGCUUGCUCUUACGGGUGGCGAGUGGCGGACGGGUGAGGAAUACAUCGGAAUCUACUUUUUCGUGGGGGAUAACGUAGGGAAACUUACGCUAAUACCGCAUACGACCUACGGGUGAAAGCAGGGGAUCUUCGGACCUUGCGCGACUGAAUGAGCCGAUGUCGGAUUAGCUAGUUGACGGGGUAAAGGCCCACCAAGGCGACGAUCCGUAGCUGGUCUGAGAGGAUGAUCAGCCACACUGGAACUGAGACACGGUCCAGACUCCUACGGGAGGCAGCAGUGGGGAAUAUUGGACAAUGGGCGCAAGCCUGAUCCAGCCAUACCGCGUGGGUGAAGAAGGCCUUCGGGUUGUAAAGCCCUUUUGUUGGGAAAGAAAAGCAGCAGGUUAAUACCCCGCUGUUCUGACGGUACCCAAAGAAUAAGCACCGGCUAACUUCGUG